UACGGGGGGAGCAAGCGUUGUUCGGAAUUACUGGGCGUAAAGAGCUCGUAGGUGGUUUGUCGCGUUGUUCGUGAAAACUCACAGCUCAACUGUGGGCGUGCGGGCGAUACGGGCAGACUGGAGUACUGUAGGGGAGACUGGAAUUCCUGGUGUAGCGGUGGAAUGCGCAGAUAUCAGGAGGAACACCGGUGGCGAAGGCGGGUCUCUGGGCAGUAACUGACGCUGAGGAGCGAAAGCGUGGGGAGCGAACAGG
Molecule: ribosomal RNA, 253 nt
Filed under: uncultured bacterium
Lineage: Bacteria
Description: partial 16S ribosomal RNA
Rfam family: Bacterial small subunit ribosomal RNA
Source: RNAcentral